RNAcentral lists this transfer RNA (96 nucleotides) under Runella slithyformis DSM 19594. It matches the Rfam family "tRNA". From Rfam's summary of the family: Transfer RNA (tRNA) molecules are approximately 80 nucleotides in length. The record is from Rfam by way of RNAcentral. Lineage: Bacteria; Pseudomonadati; Bacteroidota; Cytophagia; Cytophagales; Spirosomataceae.
GUCUGCUAGCUUAACGGUAAAGCGACCCCUCCACAAGCCAAUCGUAAAAGUUGGUUUGUGAAGGUGAGAUAGUUGGUUCGAAUCCGACAGCAGACA